AAGUCGUAACAAGGUUUCCGUAGGUGAACCUGCGGAAGGAUCAUUACUGAGUUAGGGUUCCUUUGAGCCCGAUCUCCAACCAUUUGUUUAAAUUACCUUGUUGCUUUGGCAGGCCCGCCUUUCGGGGCCGCCGGGGGUGUUCAGUCACCUCUAGCCCGUGCCUGCCAGUAGCCAAAUCAAAUUCUUUUAACCAUGUCGUCUGAAUCAUAAUUAAAAUUAAUUAAA
This 225-nucleotide unclassified non-coding RNA is filed under the name plant metagenome. RNAcentral's name for it is "partial contains small subunit ribosomal RNA and internal transcribed spacer 1". The stretch from base 1 to 46 matches the Rfam family "Eukaryotic small subunit ribosomal RNA", at positions 1786 to 1831 of the family's 1831-position model. The record is from RNAcentral.